This 726-nucleotide ribosomal RNA is filed under the name Septoria scabiosicola. Its description in RNAcentral is "eukaryotic LSU rRNA". It matches the Rfam family "Eukaryotic large subunit ribosomal RNA", at positions 71 to 826 of the family's 3401-position model. Lineage: Eukaryota; Fungi; Ascomycota; Dothideomycetes; Mycosphaerellales; Mycosphaerellaceae. The record is from RNAcentral.
GGGAUUGCCCUAGUAACGGCGAGUGAAGCGGCAACAGCUCAAAUUUGAAAUCUGGCGCAAGCCCGAGUUGUAAUUUGUAGAGGAUGCUUCUGGGUAGCGACCGAUCUAAGUUCCUUGGAACAGGACGUCAUAGAGGGUGAGAAUCCCGUAUGUGACCGGCCCGCACCCUUUACGUAGCUCCUUCGACGAGUCGAGUUGUUUGGGAAUGCAGCUCUAAAUGGGAGGUAAAUUUCUUCUAAAGCUAAAUACCGGCCAGAGACCGAUAGCGCACAAGUAGAGUGAUCGAAAGAUGAAAAGUACUUUGGAAAGAGAGUUAAAAAGCACGUGAAAUUGUUGAAAGGGAAGCGCCUGCAAUCAGACUUCGCGGCAGUGUUCCGCCGGUCUUCUGACCGGUUCAUUCUCUGUCGCGAGGCCAUCAUCGUCUGGGCCCGCCGGAUAAGACCUUAGGAAUGUAGCUCACCUUCGGGGGAGUGUUAUAGCCUAUGGUGAUGCGGCGAGGCUCGGGCGAGGUCCGCGCUUCGGCAAGGAUGAUGGCGUAAUGGUUGUCGGCGGCCCGUCUUGAAACACGGACCAAGGAGUCUAACAUCUAUGCGAGUGUUCGGGUGUCAAACCCCUACGCGUAAUGAAAGUGAACGGAGGUGGGAACCGCAAGGUGCACCAUCGACCGAUCCUGAUGUCCUCGGAUGGAUUUGAGUAAGAGCAUAGCUGUUGGGACCCGAAAGAUGG